UUCACUCCGAUGAGUACUACAGAUCACUGAUAAAAGUUAGCCUUUGUCUCAUCGGUCCAUAAGCAUUUGCUGUUAACUGCUUUUUAGUGAUUUGUUUUAAUUUGUUGUUUUUGUUUGCAACUCUCAAAAUUAUUUCUGACAUCAACUGAAGUUUUUUUUUCUUUGGCUGCCCAGUUUCUUCAUGUUACAUAGUACACCAAAAAGCCGUUUCUUCAUAAGAACGUUCCAAAUGCAUUGAGUAUGGCCAAGCUUUAUCCAACGGCUGGACUGAGUUCUCUCAGCUUCCUAAUUAUUUUAUUUUAUUUUUACCUGGAAACAGUUUUCAUGUUGCCAUUAAUUAGUAUAAAUUUAAUCUUUGACUGAGACUGAGACUAGACAAUAGAUGUAUUUUAAUUGCUAUCGAACCCAAAUGGUUUCAGUCUCCGGCGGGAAUAAACUCUAUCAAUCCUCAAGGAGGGGGAUGCAUAUGAGAUUUAAUUGCUCAGCCAAGUGUGUGAAGUGGUGCUUUCUGAUUUCAUCGGCAUCAUAGUCCGCAUUCACACACUGAAAAAUUGAUGUGUUGAAUUUACAUUUUAUUUCGUCAAGUCGUUGCGAGAAAUAAAAAUGACUGGAUCCAGAUAUAUAUAUUUUUUAAGCAGGCCCUACAUCUACUUCAAACGCGGAUCUGGAUCCAGAUGAAUUUGUGUGCAAUCACCUGACGAAAUAAAAUGAAGUAAAUUCAACACAUCCAUUUUUUUUUUCAGAGGAGAUGGGAAUUGGUGAAAAAAUUUUUGCUUUUAACCAAUGUGUUGAACAUUUGAUAGUCACAUUUUUAUUGCGCAACAAUAUUCUGGGUCUUAACCCCUCAAACCAAACAAAACUCAGGAAACCUACUGUCAUCUCAAGCUCUCUUACCAAAAUGUACUCAAAGUAUGUCUGAACAGAUCAUACAAAUUACACAAUUAAAUUUCACAACUCCAGGGUUAAUAAAUCCCAAAACACCUUGCCGUUCAUCCAUCUGUAGGUAGUCGGCCCCAUGCCCAGACAGCAGGUGGCACAAGGUGCCGUAACUUGUAAGGCCAAGCUGACAAGGAUGGCCAGUCAAGGAAAAGCUCUGUUGUUUGUUUUUUCUGCAAGGUAAAUCCUCCCAAAAAAAUUGGGUUUGGAAAGUUUUCACCUCCAAAAAGAUAGUCGACUCACUGACCUCAAAGAGCAUUUGCAUGUGGACUAAAUGUCAAGGCACAUAUGAAAAUGUAGUUUUUUUUUUUUUUUUUUUUGUUUUUUUCCCCAAAUACAGUAUCUGUGUUUGUGUAGACCUGUCCAAGGUGGGUUGCAAAGCAGUGGCAGGGCAGGAGGGGUCCUGGCAAGCUACACAAAAGGUGACAAUGAAUGUACAGCACUUGAGAUGUUGUGGAUUGAUCAAAUAUUAUACUGACAAUUUUUUUCCUUUUUUGUCUAUCACAUUUUAAAGUCCCUGUAAACACCGUUGUCUGUGGCCUCACCUCCUUACUUGUUGGAAAUUAAAUACGACAUUGAGCUGUUGUGUAAAAUUGUGGCAUCUAAAAAAGUUACAUUUUUGAGGUGUAGGUAUAGUUAGCUAUAGCUAACUACACGAUGUAGCAAUAGAAAUGGGACUUGGAGUAUUUUAAAAAGUAACUCAUAAUUGCACCAUUGAUGCAAAAGAAGGCCCCCUUUUUUUAAUAGUGGGGUGAUGCUCGGGGGACCCUGAGGUGUGUCACCCGGCGCUGUUUUAGCCACAAUGUCACUCCCCCAAAAUUCUGGAAAACUGAAACUGUUCAAAAUUUUUUAGGGUACUGUAGAUAUCCGCAAGCGGCUCGGAGUAAAAAAACAGUUCUCAGUAUGUUUUCAGUAAUUAUCAUCAAACACGUGUAAUGGAUUAUACAUUGUAUAAUGUAGUAAACAAAUUCCAGUGUACACUUUACAGGGUCUUUAAUUUCUUAAAAUUGUAAACCGUGUAUCCCAUUUGUGUUGUUUACAUAUUUUAUAUGUAAAAGUUGAGUAGGAUUUAUUUGCCCAAACCACUCGGAGGACGUUACAAAUGGAUGAUCAAAAAAAUAAUCAUAAAAUCAAAGUAGAUGUGACAUCUAGAUUACAUGACAUGAAAGUAAAGAGUGGAGCUUUUUUUUUUUUUUUUUAUGUCCAUUAUGUGUUGUAUAUUUUGGGAGAAAUUGUCAUCUUGCUGCACUGUCGAUGUCUUCAAUCGUUCCAUUGCCAUCAGUUAUUGCGUUUUAUUUCAACCUCUGUUGUUAAAUAUAUACAUUAAAAAAAUUAUCCAAGGAAAUUUGGUAAAUGAGCAAUGCCACAUCGUAUUACGGUAUGCGCUAGAUUUGAUGGCCAGGAAAGACAAUGAGGGGCAGUGCCGUGAUCCAUAAGAGCGGAAUAAAGAAACAAAAUCCCCAAAUUCUUCUACUAGGGGAAUGGUUAAAACAAACAAACAAAAAAAACAGCCAACUUUCUUUCUACCUCAAUGCUAUGGAAACCCUCAUGGUGUUUACGUUACACAGUGAUUCUUUUGAAAUGUGAGGGCUAGCAGAUUUAGGAUAAAAUGCAUUGAGAAGUAAAAAAAAAAAAAAAAAAAGUGAUGAUAAAUGGUAUGAAUAGUACCACCAUGUCAUUUGGUGCAGUCUUCCUCAGAUGACUGUACUUUUAACUUCUCAUCCGAGUAGCCAAUUUGCAUUCAACUGAUGAUUGCACAGAGACAUACUGGUACAUACAGUUGUAUGUAUAAUCAACCCAAUCAUUUGUGGGCUACUUUGAUGAAUGUGUAAAUACCUGAGCACCUUUUGACCAUUUUUUUUUUUGGUUCACUUUUUUGUUUUUGAGUGUGUUGAAUUUUCUGGUAUUUUCACAACACACUUGCUUAACUUUUAACCAGUGUGUGUCGUGUUUGUUGCACUGUAAAUACAUGCAAAUCCAAAGGUGCACUUAUGAGUUUUCUCAUACUGCCCUUCUUGUUGCCACUCAAUGUAUUUUAAUAUAAUCAAAGGCAGCAAAUGUCAUUAAAAGACAGCUGAUCUUGCGAGUUAAUCUUGUAUGCUGUUGUACAGUAUUUUAUUGCCUUGUCAUCCACGUCAUUCAAAAUCUUAGACUAAAAUCCAGUUGAAGAGCUGUGUUUGUAUCCAUACAGUACAUGAUAUCUCAACAUGGGUAUCUAUGGUUUUGAGGAGGUUGUCAUUUUUAGCAAAAAUGAUCGGCAGCUGUAAAGACUUAAUUUUUAUGCAGAGAUGCAUACUGCAGUUUUACCGAACCAAAGCCUUCAAGUGUAAACAAUGCGAAAUGUGUGUAAUCCCAAUCACUUGUAAUAAACACAUUUGCCAAG
Long non-coding RNA from Hippocampus comes (tiger tail seahorse), 3319 nucleotides. RefSeq lists it as uncharacterized. Lineage: Eukaryota; Metazoa; Chordata; Actinopteri; Syngnathiformes; Syngnathidae. The record is from RefSeq and is a predicted model, not a curated record. The transcript is spliced from 2 exons.